GAUGAACGCUAGCUACAGGCUUAACACAUGCAAGUCGAGGGGAAACGGCAUCGUAAGCUUGCUUUUGAUGGGCGUCGACCGGCGCACGGGUGAGUAACGCGUAUCCAACCUGCCCAUCACUUGGGAAUAACCUUGCGAAAGUAAGACUAAUGCCCAAUGACAUCCCACGAAGGCAUCCGAAUGGGAUUAAAGAUUUAUCGGUGAUGGAUGGGGAUGCGUCUGAUUAGCUUGUUGGCGGGGUGACGGCCCACCAAGGCAACGAUCAGUAGGGGUUCUGAGAGGAAGGUCCCCCACAAUGGAACUGAGACACGGUCCAAACUCCUACGGGAGGCAGCAGUGAGGAAUAAUGGUCAAUGGGCGAGAGCCUGAACCAGCCAAGUAGCGUGCAGGAGGACGGCCCUAUGGAUUGUAAACUGCUUUUAUAAGGGAAUAAAGUGGGUCACGUGUGACUUUUUGCAUGUACCUUAUGAAUAAGGACCGGCUAAUUCCGUG
RNAcentral lists this ribosomal RNA (492 nucleotides) under uncultured bacterium. RNAcentral's name for it is "partial 16S ribosomal RNA". It matches the Rfam family "Bacterial small subunit ribosomal RNA", at positions 28 to 507 of the family's 1533-position model. The record is from RNAcentral.